GAGCUCAGGGGAAGCGCCAGGAUCAGCGCCCCUUUCUGCCUGAUAGGUGCUUCUCCAAGCCAGGAGAGCUCAGCCCCUUUCCGCCUGAUCAGCGCUUCUCCGAGGCCAGGAGAGCUCAGGGGAAGUGCCAGGAUCAGCACCCCUUUCUGCCUGAUCGGUGUUUCUCCUAGACCGGGAGAGCUCAGGGGAAGCACCAAGAUCAGCGCCCCUUUCCACCUGAUUGGUGCUUCUCCGAGGCUGGGAGAGCUUGGCCCCUUUCUGCCUGAUUGGUACUUCUUCCAGAGCUGAUCCUGGUGCUUCUCCUGAGCCCCGAAGAAGUACCAAUCUCCUGGAAAGCGGCAUUGAUCCCGGUGCAUCUGCUGAGCCCUGAAGAAGCGCCUAUCACCUGGAAAGCAAUAUUGAUCUGGGCCAGCGCACUCACACACACACAAACACGUGUGAGCAGUUACAGCUGAAGGCGUUGCAACCUUCAACUAUGGCUCCCAGUCCUCUGGCGCCUCAUUGGCUCAGGCCAGCCGUCCGUCAGAAUCUACAUUCUGUGAUUGGCUGGCUCCCUCAAUGUGUCCCUCCCUUGCAGAAAGGGUUUGGCUCUUUAUGCCAGCUUGCCCCCUCGUGGGGCUCCUGAUACUGUAGGCCCCGCUAGCCGGGAAGGCGCACUGGAGUCCUGGCUGCCGGAUCUGAAUAUAAUACUGACGUAUGAAGAUUAAUGGGAAAAGAUCACUGUGCGAUAAUAUCAACAUCAACAUUUAACAUCCCUUGAUUCCUCUCUGUUGGAUAGAGACCUGUGAAGACUAUCAUGAGAAACCGUUUGCUCAACUUUGCCUGGAUCACCAGCUGCUCUUGGACUGGAAUUCAUAAUAAAAUCUAUGUCUAAAACCAACACACUAGCCUCAGAUUCAAUGGGACAUAGUCAGCAAAUAUUACACAGGGUUACAAAAUACCUGCUCCUUUUCUGCAGUCCACAGUUCCAGCACAAACUGCCCAGAGAUCCAUAGUCAUUAACUCACAUUCUCAAUGAAGUAAAAAGAGAAGUAAAAGGAGUCCCUAUGGAUUUUACUCCACUAGCCAUUGCUGACUAUAGGGGGCGGUGUUCAUUUCCAUUGAAAGGCCAUUGAAAGGCAGCGCUGGCUGAAGACAUUUCCAUGGUCAUGUAGUCAGCAUGACAUCGCAGAGCACUGUUACCCCCCCUACCUAAGUGGUACCUAAUUAUCUACUCGCAUUUGCAUGCUUUCAAACUGCUAGGUUGGCAGGAGCUGGGGUGAGGAUGGAGCUCACCCAUUGCAUGGUGCUCAGGUCUCAAACCUGAGAUGGAUCCUAAUUAAUUGGGUUUACUAGGAUGUGCCUUAUUUACUCCUGUUCUGAAAAGGCUUUAUGAGCAAAUAAUAUAGGCUAGAGAAGGACAAGAGGUUCACUAAAAAUAUCAUUUCCUAAUGUUUCAUGAGAAGAAAGCAAUUCUGAGUGGCAUAAUGUUUUCAUUGCAUGUUAAAUCCUGGCAUCUCCAGAUAAAAAGAUCGUAGGUAGCUAGACCAAAAAAGUAUUGUUUGAGGCUUUGAUGUUCAGCUGCUUGAGCAGAUAACACUGAGAUUGAUGAAUAUAUUGUUUGACCAAGCAUUAAGUGGCUUUAUAUUGAUUUUGGAAUGUAACAUUUGAAAAUAUUUGGAUCAAAAAGUGAAUGGCAGAUGAGGGGGAGUCUGCAAAUAUCGCCUUCCUGCAGCAACAGAAUGCUUAAAAGCCUGGGAAAAAUCAGUAUCAAAUCACAAUGGAGGAUGCAAAGAGAGCAUAUUCCAAUUGGAGAUUAUGGAUGUGGAAUAAAAUAGAAUAAGGAUUAGGACAGAAGCCAGCACUGCAGGAUAUCAAGAUGCUGGAAUUCCACUGUGUAAAGUUGUCUGCUACUUAUAGUAUGUAUUUUUCAAAGUUUGCCAUAAAUUUAUAUGGAAUGUAA
Molecule: long non-coding RNA, 1942 nt
Organism: Crotalus tigris (Tiger rattlesnake)
Lineage: Eukaryota; Metazoa; Chordata; Lepidosauria; Squamata; Viperidae
Exons: 3
Source: RefSeq, a predicted model, not a curated record